Molecule: long non-coding RNA, 484 nt
Filed under: Mustela putorius furo (domestic ferret)
Lineage: Eukaryota; Metazoa; Chordata; Mammalia; Carnivora; Mustelidae
Description: lncRNA (ENSMPUG00000027188.1)
Source: RNAcentral
GGCUGGGUUAACAGCAGACCAGCCCUACCUGGCUUCCAUGACAACAGCAUUAUAUUGGCAGCCCUGGGAAAGAGAAGUCUGGAUGCUACCAUGUGUUUGGAAAGCUUCUCAGGAAGUUGGCCCAUGGCUAUCUAGCUGCCAGCCCCUGGGCCUCCUAAGAACUAAAUGUUUUCUUCCACAAGUUGUAAAAAUAAGCAAAGAAGAAAAUCCCCUUUGGCCUGUGAGGAAAUGCUCUAAGGAAACCAACAUAUUCCAUCUCCUGAACUCAAAGACCUCCAGGUCCCUACCCCAGCUUCAUCAGAUGGACCUAAUUCUUCUAAACUAGUCAUAAAUAUGUCAUAGGAUAGAUUUGAGAGUUGGCUUGUAGCCUCACUCUAGAUAAUAAAUUAUUAAGGGAAAUUUUCUUAGAAGGUUUCCUUUCCCAAAUAAAAGUUAAGGAAUAAAGAUGUGAAAGCCUCUAUGACUCUUCUUUCCCCUUCCCAAA